Molecule: ribosomal RNA, 390 nt
Filed under: uncultured bacterium
Lineage: Bacteria
Description: bacterial SSU rRNA
Rfam family: Bacterial small subunit ribosomal RNA
Source: RNAcentral
GACGAACGCUGGCGGCGUGCUUAACACAUGCAAGUCGAGCGGUAAGGCCCUUUCGGGGGUACACGAGCGGCGAACGGGUGAGUAACACGUGGGUGACCUGCCCUCAGCUCUGGGAUAAGCCUGGGAAACCGGGUCUAAUACUGGAUAUGACUCCAUGACGCAUGUUGUGGGGUGGAAAGCCUUGUGCGGCUGAGGAUGGGGCCCGCGGCCUAUCAGCUUGUUGGGUGGGGUGANGGCCUACCAAGGCGACGACGGGUAGCCGGCCUGAGAGGGCGACCGGCCACACUGGGACUGAGACACGGCCCAGACUCCUACGGGAGGCAGCAGUGGGGAAUCUUGCGCAAUGGGCGAAAGCCUGACGCAGCGACGCCGCGUGAGGGAUGACGGCCU